Molecule: ribosomal RNA, 200 nt
Filed under: uncultured Ignatzschineria sp.
Lineage: Bacteria; Pseudomonadati; Pseudomonadota; Gammaproteobacteria; Cardiobacteriales; Ignatzschineriaceae
Description: partial 16S ribosomal RNA
Rfam family: Bacterial small subunit ribosomal RNA
Source: RNAcentral
GGACGGGUGAGUAAUGCAUAGGAAUCUACCUUUUAGUCUAGGAUAACUACCCGAAAGGGUAGCUAAUACUGGAUGUGGACUACGGUUUAAAGCAGGGGAUCUUCGGACCUUGCGCUAAGAGAUGAGCCUAUGUGGGAUUAGCUAGUUGGUGAGGUAAUGGCUCACCAAGGCGACGAUCUCUAGCUGGUUUGAGAGGAUAA